UUUAACAGAUGAUGGGUUACCCGAUCUCUGAAGGCAAGCUGGACGAGAAGACGGCCUCGUCACUCUUAUGGCAGUCCUACCCCGUCACUAACAUCCCUGAGGCACUGAUCCCAGCGGUCAUUGAGAAGUAUUUAGGAGGGA
Myotis brandtii (Brandt's bat) is the source of this 141-nucleotide long non-coding RNA. RefSeq lists it as uncharacterized. The record is from RefSeq and is a predicted model, not a curated record. The transcript is spliced from 2 exons. Lineage: Eukaryota; Metazoa; Chordata; Mammalia; Chiroptera; Vespertilionidae.